This 181-nucleotide ribosomal RNA is filed under the name uncultured bacterium. RNAcentral's name for it is "partial 16S ribosomal RNA". It matches the Rfam family "Bacterial small subunit ribosomal RNA", at positions 1320 to 1500 of the family's 1533-position model. The record is from RNAcentral.
AUGAAGUCGGAAUUGCUAGUAAUCGCGGAUCAGCAUGCCGCGGUGAAUACGUUCCCGGGCCUUGUACACACCGCCCGUCACACCAUGGGAGCCGGUAAUACCCGAAGUCAGUAGUCUAACCGCAAGGAGGACGCUGCCGAAGGUGGGAUUAGCGACUGGGGUGAAGUCGUAACAAGGUAUC